AUUUCACCCUGCCUUGACUGGCAUCAAAAGUGAGGAUGCCUACUCUGAUCCCAGCAACAAGGAGUAGAGUAAAGUCUCCAGUACUAACAGUGAGUCCCUGGAGUUGGUGGGAGUAAUCACGUAAUGAAAUCUACAUUUAAGGAAAUGCAUUUUGGCAGCGGUGGGUAAGAUGAAAUGGACUGGGGAGAGGCAUGAGGUGAUGGCUCACUUCUAGACGAGAAACAGAAGGGUUUGAACUAGGUGAGAGUUGGGCAAGAGGAGAGAAGUAUGGGAGAUGUGAAGGCAGGAAAGACAAGAUUGGGAAACUGUUUAUGUCGAAGUUAAGGCGGAGUCCAGGAUCAGAUUGAGAUCAGGAACCUGAGAGAUUGGAAGGACGGUAGUGCCAGAAAUAGGGAAUCAAU
Molecule: long non-coding RNA, 401 nt
Filed under: Monodelphis domestica (gray short-tailed opossum)
Lineage: Eukaryota; Metazoa; Chordata; Mammalia; Didelphimorphia; Didelphidae
Description: lncRNA (ENSMODG00000042376.1)
Source: RNAcentral